UGUGUGUUUUGAAUCAGUGGCAUUCACAUUAUUUAUUAUGUUCUGCGUGUCCACUGACGCAGACGAGCUGUCAGCUGACCAGCUCACACCUGCAGUCCCUGAGAGUCGUUCCUGCUGAAGGCCACAACUCGCAUGCAACAUACUUCUUAGGACGCAUUGACAGACUGGACCAUCCAAAGGACAGAAUAGCCAUCUGGUAAAGGCGUCCACGUGUGCGUGUGCAACAGGGACCAUUAUUGGACAUUUACCAGUGUCCCUCGAUCAAGAGCACACACUGCAGGAGGAUGAGAAGGCACUGAAGCACUGAACUCCUCUCAGCUGCAGGCCAUGGAUAUAAAGACUUGUACUCAGAGUGCAUGGCUGCUUCCUCAGCCACUACAACAUCUGGAAACUGGUGGUACAGCAGAAACUGCAGCAGGUGCGUGUGCUGGAGGAGGACGUGUGGUCUGAGCACAGGUUUUGCAGCAGGCUGGUUUCCUUUAUGGACGACGACGUGGGACUCGACUGGGACCUGAGGUGAGUGACUUUGUGAAAACUUACAAAAAAACUAUUGUCAUUUUCUGGUUUGCUGCAUGAAUUUGGUGUGAAAAUUAGGUAAUGACACGUAAAUAAUUGAACUUUUUUAUUUAUUUAUUAAAGCUCCAUUGUGUAACUUCUGUCACCAAAUGACAGUCAACAGGGAAUCACAUGGCAUGUUUCCAUCAUGGUACAGUACGGAUUGGAAUGGUAAAGCCCUCAAUCAGGCUUGCGUUUGGACUGAGAACAGUACCUUUACUUGGUUGACGGGGUCUGUGCUGUGCACGACGGCUGCGUCAGCGAGAUACGUAGCAUAACGUUGUACCGGUGCGAUGACAGCGACCGUCAAACACGACACAAAAACAGAGGACAUUCAGCGGCUUGUUUGCUUUCUGCUUGAUUUGUGGCUGUUUGUC
Solea senegalensis (Senegalese sole) is the source of this 932-nucleotide long non-coding RNA. RefSeq lists it as uncharacterized. The record is from RefSeq and is a predicted model, not a curated record. Lineage: Eukaryota; Metazoa; Chordata; Actinopteri; Pleuronectiformes; Soleidae. The transcript is spliced from 4 exons.